Molecule: ribosomal RNA, 888 nt
Filed under: Botryosphaeria dothidea
Lineage: Eukaryota; Fungi; Ascomycota; Dothideomycetes; Botryosphaeriales; Botryosphaeriaceae
Description: eukaryotic LSU rRNA
Rfam family: Eukaryotic large subunit ribosomal RNA
Source: RNAcentral
AGAAACCAACAGGGAUUGCCUUAGUAACGGCGAGUGAAGCGGCAACAGCUCAAAUUUGAAAGCUGGCUCCUUUGGAGUCCGCGUUGUAAUUUGUAGAGGAUGAUUCGGCAAGGGCUCCCGCCUAAGUCUCCUGGAACGGAGCGUCAUAGAGGGUGAGAAUCCCGUAUGCGGUGGGCUGCCUAAGCCAUGUGAAUCUCCUUCGACGAGUCGAGUUGUUUGGGAAUGCAGCUCUAAAUGGGAGGUAAAUUUCUUCUAAAGCUAAAUACCGGCCAGAGACCGAUAGCGCACAAGUAGAGUGAUCGAAAGAUGAAAAGCACUUUGGAAAGAGAGUUAAAAAGUACGUGAAAUUGUUGAAAGGGAAGCGCUUGCAGCCAGACUUGUCCGCAGUUGCUCAGCCGGUCUCCUGACCGGUGUACUCUUCUGCGGCCAGGCCAGCAUCAGUUCGGGCGGUCGGAUAAAGACCUCGGGAAUGUAGCUCCUCUCGGGGAGUGUUAUAGCCCGGGGUGGAAUGCGGCCAGCCUGGACUGAGGAUCUCGCUUCGGCUAGGAUGCUGGCGUAAUGGCUGUAAGCGGCCCGUCUUGAAACACGGACCAAGGAGUCUAACAUCUAUGCGAGUGUUUGGGUGUCAAACCCAUGCGCGUAAUGAAAGUGAACGGAGGUGGGAACCCUCACGGGUGCACCAUCGACCGAUCCUGAUGUCUUCGGAUGGAUUUGAGUAAGAGCAUAGCUGUUGGGACCCGAAAGAUGGUGAACUAUGCCUGAAUAGGGUGAAGCCAGAGGAAACUCUGGUGGAGGCUCGCAGCGGUUCUGACGUGCAAAUCGAUCGUCAAAUUUGGGUAUAGGGGCGAAAGACUAAUCGAACCAUCUAGUAGCUGGUUCCUGCCGAAG